GCCGGUGUGGCUCAGUGGGUAGAGCACCGGCCUGCAGACUGAAGGGUCCUGGUUUGAUUCCGGUCAAAGGCA
This 72-nucleotide transfer RNA is filed under the name Myotis lucifugus (little brown bat). It matches the Rfam family "tRNA". Rfam says of the family: Transfer RNA (tRNA) molecules are approximately 80 nucleotides in length. Their secondary structure includes four short double-helical elements and three loops (D, anti-codon, and T loops). Further hydrogen bonds mediate the characteristic L-shaped molecular structure. tRNAs have two regions of fundamental functional importance: the anti-codon, which is responsible for specific mRNA codon recognition, and the 3' end, to which the tRNAs corresponding amino acid is attached (by aminoacyl-tRNA synthetases). tRNAs cope with the degeneracy of the genetic code in two manners: having more than one tRNA (with a specific anti-codon) for a particular amino acid; and 'wobble' base-pairing, i.e. permitting non-standard base-pairing at the 3rd anti-codon position. Lineage: Eukaryota; Metazoa; Chordata; Mammalia; Chiroptera; Vespertilionidae. The record is from Rfam by way of RNAcentral.